Molecule: transfer RNA, 71 nt
Filed under: Marmota monax (woodchuck)
Lineage: Eukaryota; Metazoa; Chordata; Mammalia; Rodentia; Sciuridae
Description: tRNA.Ala
Rfam family: tRNA
About the family: Transfer RNA (tRNA) molecules are approximately 80 nucleotides in length. Their secondary structure includes four short double-helical elements and three loops (D, anti-codon, and T loops). Further hydrogen bonds mediate the characteristic L-shaped molecular structure. tRNAs have two regions of fundamental functional importance: the anti-codon, which is responsible for specific mRNA codon recognition, and the 3' end, to which the tRNAs corresponding amino acid is attached (by aminoacyl-tRNA synthetases). tRNAs cope with the degeneracy of the genetic code in two manners: having more than one tRNA (with a specific anti-codon) for a particular amino acid; and 'wobble' base-pairing, i.e. permitting non-standard base-pairing at the 3rd anti-codon position.
Source: RNAcentral
GGGGUUGUGGCUCAGUGGUAGAGCACUCAACUGGCACAUGUGAGGCACUGGGUUCAAUUAUCAGCACCACA